UGUUUUCUUUUUUUUUUUUUUCCCAUGAAGCUCAAAUGUGCCAUCAGGGUGAACUUUGGUUUCUAUUGAACUUUCCAGAGGAAGGUUAGAGAAUUUGCUAUGCUAAGAAGUGCUUGAAUUCAUGUUUUCCCCACACAAACCCCACUUGGUCUACAUGCCAGCAAGUGUUCUUUGCACAGGAGAAAUACACACUAAAAGGGGGUACUUUCAUUUGAGAGCUGAAGCAAAAAUAGAAAAAUGUUUUCCCAAAAUAACAAACUCAAGAAUUUUAUAGAAAUGAAUUGUUACUUAUAUGCCCUGAAGCUUACCAUGACCUCCCCUUUGCUACCAGGAGACUGAAAAGUCUGAUACCACAGAGAAGUCUGAUGCUACAGAGGAGAAAUCAGAAGGCACAGGAGAUGAACCUGAUUCCAGGGAUGAAAAAUCUGAUGCCACAAAUGAAACUGAGGCACACACAGAAGCCAAGGAAGGUGAAGGGGCUCCUGAAGAGGCUCAGUCUGACCAGACACCACCAGAAGGUCAACAGGAAGGCGAGGAAGAACAUGCAGCAACAGGGGUAUAGUAUACCUGGCAAUUUUAUUAUCAUAUUAUGUUUGUCUGUAUUUAAUUCCUUUUCAGUCCCUUUGCUUCACUCAAAAGCUGGUAAAUUCUUAUUCAUGAAAGUAAAUACAUCACAGUCAUAUUCAGCUAGAGAUAAUGAUUGGUCCUAUCAUUGUGUUAUUGACUGGGAACAAAGAUGGGCCUUUAAUCAUUAAAAUGUAAAUGGAAGAUAAAUUGUCUGUCACAGAGUCUUCAAUAAAAUUUGCUAAGGACUACCAUGACAAGUCUGUCUUUGAUAAUCACUGACUGACACCAUGCUGUGAUUGCAUUUUCAGUGUGAAAAACUCAUUCUGACAAUUUAGGCAGUUUUUCCCAUAAAGGAGAUAUUUCCCUCACGAGAAUCUGUAAGACCCAGGAGCAAAUCCUCAAACACUUUUCUGCUUUGCCCAAACCUCCAGGAUCACCCAGUGCCACCCCAGUGCCACCAGCAUCACCCCAACCCUGUCCCCAAGGGCCACAUCCAGCCUGUCCUUUGCUUUGCCCAAACCUCCAGGAUCCCCCAGUGCCACCCCAGUCCCUGUCCCCAAGGGCCACAUCCAGCCUGUCCUGAGCACUGCCCCAGACAGUGACUGCAAACCUCCCUGGGCAGCUCAUCCCAAUCCUGACCACUCUGCCAGGGACAUUUUCUUUCCCAAUCUCCACCCUGAGCCUGCCCUGGUGCCAUUUGAGGCCAUUUCCUCUGCUCCUUUCCCUGCCCCUCCUGUCAGGGAGUUGUGCAGAGCCACAAGGUCCCCCUGAGCCUCCUUUUCUCCAGGCUGAGCCCCUUUCCCAGUUCAGCUGCUUCUCCCAGGAUGUGUUUUCCUGAGCCUAAAGCUCCUGGACCCAUGAGCAAAGUGCAGGGGUUUCUGGAGAGGCUGGUGAGGGCCAAGCCUGGCACCACCAACUAAUGCUUCAAGCAAGAGAAAUAACCCUUUUUUUUCCCCCUGUAAAACUUGAAUUUUGGAUGGAAGUUGGUAAUAUGUGAAAGAUGUGCCUUGUCUGUGGGCUCUCCUGGCCCUGUGUCAGAGUUCUCAUGAGAGAAAAAAGGCACCUUUCCUUGGGGGGAAAUGCCCAGAGAGGCAACACUCCUUUGGCAUAAUUCUAACCCACAGAUGUUUGUAUUACAUUUCUGGUUUUGCAGGAGGGAUUCUUUAGUGCAAUGUUUUUCCCUGAAAAAAAAACAAUUGAAACCAGGGAUCUGGUUCCAACAGCUCCAUUCCCAAGCAGAUAUUGAAGCAGGAUUUCACUUCAGCAGCUCAGGUGUGACUCCUGCACAGACAGGAGGUGCCUGAGGGGGCACAAAAGGUCUGUGCUGCUCAUGUACAACCUGCAGCCCUGACUGAAAGCUCGUUUUUGAUUCUUUGAUUGGUUAUUUGAUUAUGCCAGGAAGAAGUUCAUGUCACUUUUGCAGCCUAAGCAGUUUGUGAAGGGGUGGCAGAUUGAGAUAAAGCUGAUUAUACCCAUGGGAGUGCCUUAGGCCAAGAGAUUGCUGCAAGAGGAGCAGAGGAGCCCACAAAGCAAUUUCCAGCUAUUUUUCAGAGUAGAGCUUCAUUUACUCUAGAAAGAGAAUAAACAGAGAUUGUUGUCUGUGUUACACAAAUUCAAGCUUUCAUGUUGCUGUUGAUUGAAGCAAAGGGCUGUUGUCUUUCAAUUGAGUCAUUUCUCCUGCAUGAAAGAGAGAAAUAAUAAUUUUUGAGAUGGAAACAAGGCUAUAAUAUCUGAUUCCAGAUGAUUUUCAGAUCAUUCAGGAGUCUAGUUCCUGUGCCACGAAUCUUUAGUUGUUUCAUGCUCCAGGAAAGUGUGUAAUUAAAAAUAUUAAACUUAUUUAGUCACAUUUACACAUAUUUCAUAUUCUCAUUUGGAUUUUGAGCAUCUUUUUGCAGCUUAACCACGUGUUAUAACCUCCCUAAGAAGAGAGUUCUUUUAUUCCAGCACAUGCCUAUUAACUCCAUAAAAUAAAGCCCUGCCAUGUUGAGAUUAAAAUCUCCAUAUAUUAAUUAGAUUCUCAAAGAAUUAUUGCAUUUACUAGAAAUAGAACCGUUGUAAAAGCAGAGCUCUGAAUGUCAAGAUUUUAUUUUUUCUUUCAAGUCUUGUAUGGUAACUAUAAAUAUUUUCUAUUAAAAUAAAGGAAGAAGAAAAGCAAGGAGAGGGAGAAGAAAAGGAAGAGGUGGAGGAGCAGGAAGAGUCUUAGUACAGUCCCCUAUGACACAACAUUUCUUGAACAGGUUUUCAGGUAAAUAUUGAGACAUCAAGCACAGAUUCUGAAUACCCUUACAGUAAUAUAAAUUUGCAAUUUUUGUAAUCAUUGUUUUGGAUGGGCAAAGUGUCCAUGCUGAUGACUCAAAAGUGGAUUUAACUGUUGCAGCUUAUCUUUCACAUGGAAUAAGAAUUCUUCCCUCUCUUUUACUCAGCUUUUCCACUGCAGUUUGUAGGAGCUCCAUGUCUCACAUUAAUUCCUCUCUCAAAUUUAGGUGAAAAGUUAAAAUACUGAUAAGAGAGAGGAGCCUGACAAGAAAUAUGACUCAGUAUAAAAUUGCUGAAAAUAGGCCAAAUUUCAAACUGCCAAACAGGAAGCAGCUGGAAGGCAGAGUUUGUCCUGUACAGGUGUGUGAGCACACCAGCACUGCUCAACUUCUGUCAGCAUUUCUAAUUUUAGUUUUCAGGUUUUCUUCUUCCUCUGUUCCUUCUCCCCUGCACUGAAAUACAGAUCAGAAAAUCACUUAUUGGGGAGAAACUGAAACUUGUAAGAAAGUUGGAAUUUCCAGCAGAUUUUCCUUUGGGUGAUGGGAUUUCCUCCAGAUCACAGAUACAAAGUGCUCUGUCCAGGAUCCACAGAAUCAUGGGAUGGUUUGGGAUGGAAGGAAUCUUAAAUCUCAUCCAGUGCCACCCCUGCCAUGGCAGGGACACCUCCCACUGUCCCAGGCUGCUCCAAGCCCCAGUGUCCAACCCAUCCUGGGCUGGAUUCCCAGCUGACUCAGACUCUGACUCUGCCAAAAGUUUCACCAGCCAGGUGCUGGUGGGAUUUCCCAGCACCUCAACAGACCAGGAAAUCCAUCACUUCUCUCAUGCUGCCACUCCCAAAUCUGGGUUCAUCUCCUGCAUGGGAAUUAAUUCAUCACAACAUUGUGCAGAGUUCAGAGCUGUAACACCACAGAAGUGCUGAGUUCUAAUUAAUUUUUUUUUUUUUUGCUGUUCAGGAAGCACCAGCUGGAGCCACCCCACCAAAAAAAAAGGAAAAUCCCUUUCUCAGCAAAGCACCACCACCUUUUGUGCCUGUAUGAACAUAAAAACAUAACCAGAGCACAGACACCACUCUGUCCCACCUGUAGCCUUUAUAUAUAUAUUUGGUAUUCCAGUUGUUGUUAAAAUGGAUCUCAUGUCUGACAGAUAGUAUUUCAGUCAGUUGUUCUGUGUUGGGAUAGUUUUGUCCAUGUCACAUUUAGCCUGUGAGCUCCCCAGGGCAGGAACCAUGUCUGUCUGCAUGUCCAAGCACUGCUGCCCCUCAGUGUGACUGCACUCACACCAGUGACAUCUUCAGAGGAAAAGAAAUUCAGCACUGAAAACUGCAGAGGCUUCCUGUACACAAGCCAUGUGAAUCACUUCUCCCUCAGCUGGCAUUUGAAAUGAUUGAGAUUCCCAUUGGGCAGCAGUUUCAAUAAAUUUGUUUUCUGUCAUAUCUGUUCUUUGUCUGCAGAAACAUUAACUGUGUGAGCAAAUGUUUUCUCCAUUGUCACGGUUGUGGGCUGUACUAAGUCAUGGAAUCAUAGACUCAUGGAGAGGUUUGGGUUGGAAGGGACCUUAAAGAUCAUCCAGUUUCCACUAUCCCAGGGUGCUCAGAGCUCCAUCUAACCU
RNAcentral lists this long non-coding RNA (4431 nucleotides) under Ficedula albicollis (Collared flycatcher). RNAcentral's name for it is "lncRNA (ENSFALG00000028846.1)". The record is from RNAcentral. Lineage: Eukaryota; Metazoa; Chordata; Aves; Passeriformes; Muscicapidae.